Molecule: ribosomal RNA, 372 nt
Filed under: uncultured organism
Description: partial 16S ribosomal RNA
Rfam family: Bacterial small subunit ribosomal RNA
Source: RNAcentral
GUAGGUGGCAAGCGUUGUCCGGAAUUAUUGGGCGUAAAGCGCGCGCAGGCGGUUCUUUAAGUCUGAUGUGAAAGCCCACGGGCUCAACCGUGGAGGGUCAUUGGAAACUGGAGAACUUGAGUACAGAAGAGGAAAGCGGAAUUCCACGUGUAGCGGUGAAAUGCGUAGAGAUGUGGAGGAACACCAGUGGCGAAGGCGGCUUUCUGGUCUGUAACUGACGCUGAGGCGCGAAAGCGUGGGGAGCAAACAGGAUUAGAUACCCUGGUAGUCAACGCCGUAAACGAUGAGUGCUAAGUGUUAGGGGGUUUCCGCCCCUUAGUGCUGCAGCUAACGCAUUAAGCACUCCGCCUGGGGAGUACGGCCGCAAGGCUA